This 2802-nucleotide long non-coding RNA is filed under the name Salmo salar (Atlantic salmon). Its description in RNAcentral is "lncRNA (ENSSSAG00000092534.1)". Lineage: Eukaryota; Metazoa; Chordata; Actinopteri; Salmoniformes; Salmonidae. The record is from RNAcentral.
CCUAGGCUAAGGCUGGUUCAACAUCAAUGCAUUGUCACUUUUUUUCCUGGCCACGCAAUGUAGCCUAUCCAUAAAAUAUGUUUUAAUGACCUGUUUGUCAGAGUGGAAGGGAAUUGAAAAUAUACUGCACAUUCUAAAACAUACACUUAUAUAUGGAACGCCGUUUGAGUCUUAAAGCACGUGGUCAAAACGCAAUCUUUUUAAUUCUACGUGUGUAAAGUAAACAGGUGCAGGCGCUAAAUUAACGCCUACAUGCGUAAAAUAAGCACAUGCAAAUGUGCUUGCAGGCGGUUCAACAAACAGUCCUGCACACGUCAAGUUAACGCCUACAGCUGCUAAAUAUACACCUACAAAUGCUAACUUAACACGUUCUUUAAUAUGCUCAUUUUACUAGCCAAUUUCCCUAGCUCCUCUUUUCAACCAGAUUUCACAGUUUGAAGAAACUUCCUUUUCCACUGCAAGCAGAGUUUGAACCUUUACAAGAAGGGAAGCAUGAAGAGGAGCUUGGAGUGGGCAAGGGGGGGGAGGCUGAUAAAGCAGCAGAGAAGACCUGAUUCAUCAAGUAUCAAUUAAUUCUGGUGAUUCUCACCUGGUUGGCAUGCAUUCGCAACAUUAAGCCCAAUAAAAUAUCCAAUGUUAAUAAAACAUGUAUCCCAAUUUACAGUCAAGCAACAUUUGUCAGUCGUGUUAAUGUUAUGAACUACAAACAAUCUAUGGUUCUUGGAGUCAAGGAAUCAAUUGAAAGUGACUACAAUUAGACAUUUUAAAACUGUGCCAGUAAAGAAAUCUGCUCUUAUGAUUCUGUUUACAUUUUUUCCCAGACACUUCUGACACUCUUGUUAAUGUUUGACGUCAGGCAAAACGUCUUCAGCAACCGUAGGACGGAGAGCCGCUGGUUGGCAUUUGACUGCAGUGUCUGUGGGUGUACCAGAAAGGAUGCUAGACGUUAGGUCCCCAUGAUAUCGAAACUUCUUACCAUCUCCACUGCAGCCCAGUCGAUAUCGAUUUUAAAAAACUGGAACAACAGAUAGUGUAGCACAAUGCACAACUCCAGUUUGCCUAUUGUCCCAACAAAUGUCAAUUAUACAUGUUUACAUACGUCAGAGUGCAUUUUAUUUUAUAGCUCUGCUUUCAACGACAUCCUGACCCACAAACUGGUUAGCAGACUCAGGGCUCUGGGUGUAAAUCCUGUAAUAACAAAUUCGAUUUUUUACAUUAUAAGAAUGUGUGUCCACAGAAUGGACCCGGCACUACCAUGGUACACAUGAGUACAUGGAGCUGUGGGACCUGACAUAAUGGUGAUAGGAAAACAGUCUCAGCGUAAACAAACAAAGUAGGUGGUGAUACUUGACCAUUUUCCCAUCUGGUGAGGAGACUAGGAUACUGGUGAGGAGAGAGGGAGGAGACUAGGAUACUGGUGAGGAGAGGGAGGAGACUAGGAUGCUGGUGAGGAGAGAGGGAGGAGACUAGGAUGCUGGUGAGGAGAGAGGGAGGAGACUAGGAUACUGGUGAGGAGAGGGAGGAGACUAGGAUGCUGGUGAGGAGAGAGGGAGGAGACUAGGAUGCUGGUGAGGAGAGAGGGAGGAGACUAGACUACUGUGCAUUGACAUGGAGAUGAUCAGCAGCUUCAAGUUCCUGGGCACCCUGAUAUCCUUUUCUGCCCUCAGUUACUUCACUCAAAGUCCCACUUGUGCUUCUCCACUACCCUCAAACUGGCUGCUCCACGACCUAUGUACCAACUACAGUGUAUUUUAUUGCCAUUACACAUGUAAAUGAAAUGUCCAUAUUUACUGUAAGAUUUAUUGGGUUGGCGCCCCCCCUUGGGUUGUGUUGUGGCGGAGAUCUUUGUGAGCUAUACUCGGCCUUGUCUCAGGAUGACCUGAGCCCUAGGACCAUGCCUCAGGACUACCUGGCAUGAUGACUCCUUGCUGUCCCCAGUCCACCUGGCCGUGCUGCUGCUCCAGUUUCAACUGUUCUGCCUGCGGCUAUGGAACCCUGACCUGUUCACCGGACGUGCUACAUGUCCCAGACCUGCUGUUAUCAACUCUCUAGAGACAGCAGGAGCGGUAGAGAUACUCUCAAUGAUCGGCUAUGAAAAGCGAACUGACAUUUACUCUUGAGGUGCUGACUUGUUGCACCCUCGACAACUACUGGGAUUAUUAUUAUUUGACCAUGCUGGUCAUUUAUGAACAUUUGAACAUCUUGGCCAUGUUCUGCUAAAAUCUCCACCCGGCACAGCCAGAAGAGGACUGGCCACCCCUCAUAGCCUGGUUCCUCUCUAGGUUUCUUCCUAGGUUUUGGCCUUUCUAGGGAGUUUUUCCGAGCCACCGUGCUUCUACACCUGCAUUGCUUGCUGUUUGGGGUUUUAGGCUGGGUUUCUGUACAGCACUUUGAGAUAUCAGCUCAUGUAAGAAGGGCUAUAUAAAUAAAUUUGAUUUAUUUAUUGUAACAUUGCACAUAUUGUAACAGUCCCUUGACUAACAUGACUUAACUACUUUGCAUAAUGCUCAGUUUACCCACUAAGAAAUCAUACAUUUAUUAGAGCUGCAUUAUCUAUUAUUGUGUCCAAUUGAUUCUGGUUGGUUGUAAUGUUUUUGAAAACUUUCACUACACAACUUUUAUUGCUGAUAGACAAUCCUGUUGGAAACUUUCAUAAUAUCAAUUAUUUUGGGACACAUCAAUUAACAUUGGCUGCAGUAUUCCGAACUUACUAGGUAGUCAUGCAAUAAACGUUUUGGAUAAUUCCCCUUAAAUUAAUUCUUCAAAUCAAACUGUAUUUGUCACAUGUGCCAAAUACAACAG